This 1584-nucleotide ribosomal RNA is filed under the name Escherichia coli. RNAcentral describes it as "bacterial LSU rRNA". It matches the Rfam family "Bacterial large subunit ribosomal RNA", at positions 1252 to 2819 of the family's 2925-position model. The record is from RNAcentral. Lineage: Bacteria; Pseudomonadati; Pseudomonadota; Gammaproteobacteria; Enterobacterales; Enterobacteriaceae.
GAAGGUGUACUGUGAGGUAUGCUGGAGGUAUCAGAAGUGCGAAUGCUGACAUAAGUAACGAUAAAGCGGGUGAAAAGCCCGCUCGCCGGAAGACCAAGGGUUCCUGUCCAACGUUAAUCGGGGCAGGGUGAGUCGACCCCUAAGGCGAGGCCGAAAGGCGUAGUCGAUGGGAAACAGGUUAAUAUUCCUGUACUUGGUGUUACUGCGAAGGGGGGACGGAGAAGGCUAUGUUGGCCGGGCGACGGUUGUCCCGGUUUAAGCGUGUAGGCUGGUUUUCCAGGCAAAUCCGGAAAAUCAAGGCUGAGGCGUGAUGACGAGGCACUACGGUGCUGAAGCAACAAAUGCCCUGCUUCCAGGAAAAGCCUCUAAGCAUCAGGUAACAUCAAAUCGUACCCCAAACCGACACAGGUGGUCAGGUAGAGAAUACCAAGGCGCUUGAGAGAACUCGGGUGAAGGAACUAGGCAAAAUGGUGCCGUAACUUCGGGAGAAGGCACGCUGAUAUGUAGGUGAAGUCCCUCGCGGAUGGAGCUGAAAUCAGUCGAAGAUACCAGCUGGCUGCAACUGUUUAUUAAAAACACAGCACUGUGCAAACACGAAAGUGGACGUAUACGGUGUGACGCCUGCCCGGUGCCGGAAGGUUAAUUGAUGGGGUUAGCGGUAACGCGAAGCUCUUGAUCGAAGCCCCGGUAAACGGCGGCCGUAACUAUAACGGUCCUAAGGUAGCGAAAUUCCUUGUCGGGUAAGUUCCGACCUGCACGAAUGGCGUAAUGAUGGCCAGGCUGUCUCCACCCGAGACUCAGUGAAAUUGAACUCGCUGUGAAGAUGCAGUGUACCCGCGGCAAGACGGAAAGACCCCGUGAACCUUUACUAUAGCUUGACACUGAACAUUGAGCCUUGAUGUGUAGGAUAGGUGGGAGGCUUUGAAGUGUGGACGCCAGUCUGCAUGGAGCCGACCUUGAAAUACCACCCUUUAAUGUUUGAUGUUCUAACGUUGGCCCCUGAUCGGGGUUGCGGACAGUGUCUGGUGGGUAGUUUGACUGGGGCGGUCUCCUCCUAAAGAGUAACGGAGGAGCACGAAGGUUGGCUAAUCCUGGUCGGACAUCAGGAGGUUAGUGCAAUGGCAUAAGCCAGCUUGACUGCGAGCGUGACGGCGCGAGCAGGUGCGAAAGCAGGUCAUAGUGAUCCGGUGGUUCUGAAUGGAAGGGCCAUCGCUCAACGGAUAAAAGGUACUCCGGGGAUAACAGGCUGAUACCGCCCAAGAGUUCAUAUCGACGGCGGUGUUUGGCACCUCGAUGUCGGCUCAUCACAUCCUGGGGCUGAAGUAGGUCCCAAGGGUAUGGCUGUUCGCCAUUUAAAGUGGUACGCGAGCUGGGUUUAGAACGUCGUGAGACAGUUCGGUCCCUAUCUGCCGUGGGCGCUGGAGAACUGAGGGGGGCUGCUCCUAGUACGAGAGGACCGGAGUGGACGCAUCACUGGUGUUCGGGUUGUCAUGCCAAUGGCACUGCCCGGUAGCUAAAUGCGGAAGAGAUAAGUGCUGAAAGCAUCUAAGCACGAAACUUGCCCCGAGAUGAGUUCUCCCUGAC